This 497-nucleotide ribosomal RNA is filed under the name uncultured bacterium. Its description in RNAcentral is "partial 16S ribosomal RNA". It matches the Rfam family "Bacterial small subunit ribosomal RNA", at positions 28 to 507 of the family's 1533-position model. The record is from RNAcentral.
GAUGAACGCUGGCGGCGUGCCUAAUACAUGCAAGUCGAGCGAACGGACGAGAAGCUUGCUUCUCUGAUGUUAGCGGCGGACGGGUGAGUAACACGUGGAUAACCUACCUAUAAGACUGGGAUAACUUCGGGAAACCGGAGCUAAUACCGGAUAAUAUUUUGAACCGCAUGGUUCAAAAGUUAAAGACGGUCUUGCUGUCACUUAUAGAUGGAUCCGCGCUGCAUUAGCUAGUUGGUAAGGUAACGGCUUACCAAGGCAACGAUGCAUAGCCGACCUGAGAGGGUGAUCGGCCACAAUGGAACUGAGACACGGUCCAGACUCCUACGGGAGGCAGCAGUAGGGAAUCUUCCGCAAUGGGCGAAAGCCUGACGGAGCAACGCCGCGUGAGUGAUGAAGGUCUUCGGAUCGUAAAACUCUGUUAUUAGGGAAGAACAUAUGUGUAAGUAACUGUGCACAUCUUGACGGUACCUAAUCAGAAAGCCACGGCUAACUACGUG